RNAcentral lists this long non-coding RNA (2944 nucleotides) under Mytilus galloprovincialis (Mediterranean mussel). Lineage: Eukaryota; Metazoa; Mollusca; Bivalvia; Mytilida; Mytilidae. The record is from RNAcentral.
UCGGUCAAACCCUUAGUGUAUCCCUCCAAAGUUCCCAACAACUCAAUGUCAAAUGUGAAAACACCCGUUCAGCUAUACAAAUACCUACUAAGGCAAGUUAGGCUUCUGCCUAAAAAUUCACAGGACUACUACAACAAUUAUGUGAGACAGGUAAGAUAUAUUUUCACAUUCUUAUGAAGUCUUACAUUAAUCUAAACAUUUCUGUAAAUGAUUUGUUUCCUCUAAAAUGACAUUUCGAACAAUUGGUGGCGACAUUCUAUAACUGCUAACUGCUUCUAUUUAGCAUUAUUUUUUUGUUAAAUAUUAAUUAAUUUGUUUAUAAAUAGUGGUAAAAAGUACGAAAAGCAGAAAAACAUAAUCGGGUACAUUUAUGUGAUAGGGAAAGAAACGGUUUAUUUGUUAUCAUAAAUAGGGUUCCAUGGUUGUUGUGUGCUCCAUUAUUUAGGAGGAAUAAAUAGUCCGACAUAGAUUUUCAGGUCCCUUCAGGUCUUUUCAUUUCUCCGUUCAGGUCCAACUUUUGGCAUCAAAAAAUAACAUUUAAAUUUUAAUGAAAUAUGAAUAUUUACAAUUAAUAAAAUUCUAACUUGAAGAAAUUCCAUCCAAUAAUAAAAAAGCUAUUGCAAUUUGAAUAAUUUUAGUCGUAUAUUUUCAGGUCUUUUCAGGUCCACUUUCAGGUCUUUAGUGUAACCCUCAUAAACAUGUAUGUAAAUUCCUCCUAAAUAAUGGAGCACACAACAACCAUGGACAUCACUAAGCUCUGACAGAAAAUAGUUAUGUACUUAUUUGUCCGAUUUAGUUUCAUUCCUUCGUUGAGUUGGCAGCAUGAUGAUAUAUGAUUUGAUAUAUCAUGUAUUUUAAUUCGAAAAAAACAAGAUAAGAUCUACAAUUUAAGUCAAAUAUAGUUGAUAUCGUAAGCCUAUUCGUUAUUGAAAGUUCAACAUGCCAGGUGAACAAAAAAGGAGAUCAUCGUCAUGAAUUCUAUUCUAGUCUACAAUGUUAGAGAAUGUCCAUUCAUAUCAUCUGUUAAACUGGUUAUUUGAAAUUAAAGACUCGCAUGGUCUUGGCGAGCUUAGGUAAAUGUGCAGACGAUAAGCCCCCGUGGUUUAUGUAAGUUUUAUUAAAGAUGCAGUCAAGUAAAAACUUCUUAACAGUGACAUCUAACUAGCAGACUAGUAAUUAAAUACUCGCAUGGUCUUGGUGAGCUUAGAUAAUUGUGCAGACGAUAAGCCCUCGUGGUUUAUAUAAGUUGUACAUGUUGUAUUAAAGGUGUAGUCAAGUAACAACUUCUUAAAAGUGCCACCUUACUUGCUGUUAAGUAAUUAAAGACUCACAUGGUCUUGGUGAGCUUAGAUAAAUGUACAGACAGUAAGCUCUCAUGAUUGAUGUAAGAUUGUGUUAAGGUGCAGUCAAGUUGCAAUUUUUUUUAAAAUAAAUUCCUUGUCUCAAUUUUAAAGAAUUAAAAGGAUUAAACGCCUUUUUAAAGGAAUUCAUUGGUGUAUAAACUUAAUGACAUCUAUUAAACUAGCAACACGUUUUAAUUCCUAGGGUUACAAUAGCCAUGCAGAUGAGACGGAUCCAGAACGAAUCCAACAAAUUAUUUCAAAAGCGAUGGAAGAUAGUAAAUGGUUGGUGAAUAAAGUAAGUACAUACGGGACUAAAAGUGUUAAAUUAAUAUAGAAUUGAAAUGAUCAUAGUCGAUACAACUUUAGAUGCCAAUGAGACAACUAUUUACCAGAGUUUAAAGGAUUUAGAAGUAGAAAUAAAAAAAGAGGAUGUGGUAUGAUUGCUUAUGAGACAACCCAAAGGUCGAUAGGUCGCGGAACGGCCUCAAAAUCCAGUAACAGUAAUUAAAUGACUCGAGAUGACAAACUGUUAAAAUAUUUAUCAUUUUUCUAACCUUGUUCCUAGUUCUGGUCUUUGUUGAUGAUCAAUCUGCUAUUGGGUAGCGCAAUUUUUAAUCACUCAUCAUAAUUUAUCGGAAUAAUAAAAACUACGGAUGUCAUGUGUGGAGCAGGAUCUGCUUAUACUUCUCACGGGAUCACCUGUGAACACCCGGUUGUUGGCGGUGUUCGUGUUGCCUAGUCUCUUUUCUUUUGUAUUUUAUGUACUAGCUGUUGUUUGUCUUUUGGUCAUUAAAUCGUUUUUCAUUUUCGAAUUAUAAGUUUGAUUGUGGCUUUGGUAUCUUUUGCCUCUCUUUUAUAGAUUAUUAUAUAAGUUUAUACAUUUUAUUACAGCAUAAUUUAGUAAAAUUAAUUAGUAGCGUUGUUUUAAAAGUAAGUUUACUGUCCUCAACGGUCUAAUCUAUAUCAACAAGAAACGAGAAACAUUUAUGAACCACAUCAACAAACGACAACCAGUGAACCUGUUUGACUGGGUUUCCUGUUUGAAUUAAUUUACACUAAUCACUUUAUAGCUUGCUGUUCGGUGUGAGCCAAGGCUCCGUGUUGGAGGCCGUACUUUGACCUAUAAUGGUUUACUUUUACAAAUUGUGACUUGGAUGUAGAAGUGCAUCAUUGGCAGUCAUACCACAUCUUCUUAUAUCUAGUUAAUAAAAUAAGAAUUUCAGAAAAACGGAAUAUAUAUGUCCCAUUUUCGCUUAAUUCUGAUUUAUAUUUCAUAAUUUGUCUGCAAUGACAGCUAAACAUAGAUCUGUUUCAAAGGUAAACGUUAGCCUCACAUGAAUUUAAUAUUGCUUUUCAGUAUACGAAGUGACAACAAGAAUUUCAACAAUUAUCUGGAUUAACAGCAACUCAAAACAGCUACAGAGAUCUUUGAAGUUGCCUGGCAUGUACAUUCAUCAUGAUCAGUGUGUUUUAAAAGAUGAUUGAACAUUUUGUAUGACAAGCUCAGGGAUGUUUAUGACUUCAAAGUUUCAAUAAAUGGACGAAAAAAGCAUUUGUUAUCUGCUCUUUGGUCGGGUUGUUAUCGCUUUGAUACAUUCCCC